CCCUUAGAUGUUCUGGGCCGCACGCGCGCUACACUGACGAAUGCAACGAGCUUAUAACCUUGGCCGAAAGGUCUGGGUAAUCUCCAAAUUUCGUCGUGAUGGGGAUAGAUUAUUGCAAUUAUUAAUCUUCAACGAGGAAUGCCUAGUAAGCGCAAGUCAUCAGCUUGCGUUGAUUACGUCCCUGCCCUUUGUACACACCGCCCGUCGCACCUACCGAUUGAAUGGUCCGGUGAAGCCUCGGGAUUGUGGCUGGUUUCCUUUAUUGGAGGUCGGUUGCGAGAACUUGUCUAAACCUUAUCAUUUAGAGGAAGGUGAANUCGUAACA
RNAcentral lists this ribosomal RNA (325 nucleotides) under uncultured eukaryote. Its description in RNAcentral is "partial 18S ribosomal RNA". It matches the Rfam family "Eukaryotic small subunit ribosomal RNA", at positions 1470 to 1796 of the family's 1831-position model. The record is from RNAcentral.